AAGCUCUGGAAAAGCCACCUUGCCAUCCCCUCUCUGCCCCCAAUGUCUGUAUAGACACACAGACCUCUCUGAGCUCCGUAUUCCCAAUGCACUGUUGGAAUUCUUCCCCCUAAACACGCACGCGCUUCAGGUCCCCGGAGCUCUGUGUGACGCGUGUCCUGGGAGUUGUACCUUGGAACUACGCCUGUCUGUUGAACUUCAUAGCAGGAUUUUCUGGAUUUCACCUCUGAGGAAAUGAGAUGCUCCAUGGAGUGGAGCCACUGCAAGUUCCUGCUCCACGAGUUACACAGCACUGACCCAAGCAGACACAGCAUCGUGGCAGCUGUAGAGCUUUGCUUGGGGAAGCACAUGUAACUGAGGUGGUUGUAAGAUACAUGUCCAAAAGGUGCUCUCAGAAGGAUUAACUGCUUACAGCUGCAAAUACCACACAACUUUUUCAUGGCCAGUUGUAGCCUCCAGUGUUAUUCCGAAGCCCUGGAAGUGGGGCAUGUUUGCUUCUUUUCCUGAUUUUUACUGUGAGGUGGGAAAUAAACUUCAACCUUUGAAAAUCUUGGCUAACACUGAGAAAACCUCCCGUAUGGCUCUUCCUUGUGUUUGGAAAAAAAGUAGUCCUUCAUGCAUAGACAGCUCUCUUUUGGGACACUUGGCAAAUAUUAUUUAGCUCAGCCUCUAACUCUUCCUAUAAAGUACGUAAAUGGCUUUUAUUUUCCCCUUUUUAAUUUUCUGUAUUUUUUAUGGUUACACAGACUAAGUAAUUCUACAAGCAGGCAGUAAUGGAACUGAAAACACUGUCCAGCUUUCUGACUUUCUGUCCUGAAGCAUAAAACCAAAGACUCUUCUUAUUGCAAGGAAAACAAAUUAGCAAGAAAGAUAACUCCAAAAUAGAAAUCUUGCUUGAAAUAUAAGACUAUGCCUGAUGUGGGAAGUAUAGGGAUAAUACUGAUUUUUUUAUGCUUAUAAAAUAAAUACAAAUUUGCACACUCAGAACCAUGAAAAAUUACUUGGAAAACACUAAUAUUUUCUCAGAAAUUAUACAUUUCCAACAGCUUCCAAGGAUUUUCAUUACUUUCAGCAUUCAUUCAUAUGAUGAGCCUCUCUUCUGGUUGUAAAUUGGUAUUUUUAGAUGCAGAGAGGGUUAGAGAUUAUACCCCUCUCAAUAUCUGCAAUGAAAUAAUUGAACACGAGAUGUCUGGCAAAAUUUUGAGAAGGCUCAAGGUGUUAAAGAAAGCUCAUCUAAAUAAAGGAGAGUUAACCUGACAUUGCAGUUACUUAAUCCUGUAUUGUCCUGCCAUGUGACUGCAGGGAUACUGAGGCGCAGCAUUUCUUUUGCCUAGGGCACAGGUUUUGCCUUUCCUGUCAUCUUCUAGAAUUAGUUGCUUCGUUAAACCCACCAUGGGAAGGAAACAGAGCGGCAACAAACUUUCUACAGCAAGGCUUCAACACACAGUGACA
Molecule: long non-coding RNA, 1452 nt
Organism: Neopelma chrysocephalum (saffron-crested tyrant-manakin)
Lineage: Eukaryota; Metazoa; Chordata; Aves; Passeriformes; Pipridae
Exons: 3
Source: RefSeq, a predicted model, not a curated record